This 378-nucleotide unclassified non-coding RNA is filed under the name plant metagenome. RNAcentral's name for it is "partial contains 5.8S ribosomal RNA, internal transcribed spacer 2, and large subunit ribosomal RNA". The stretch from base 1 to 105 matches the Rfam family "5.8S ribosomal RNA", at positions 50 to 154 of the family's 154-position model. The record is from RNAcentral.
GAAAUGCGAUAAGUAAUGUGAAUUGCAGAAUUCAGUGAAUCAUCGAAUCUUUUAACGCACCUUGCGCUCCUUGGUAUUCCUUGGAGCAUGCCUGUUUGAGUAUCAUGAAAUCUUCAAAGUAAAUCUUUUGUUAACUCAAUUGGUUUCUACUUUGGUAUUGGAGGUCUUUGCAGCUUCACACCUGCCCCUCUUUGUUCAUUAGCUGGAUCUCAGUGUUAUGCUUGGUUCCACUCGGCGUGAUAAGUUAUCUAUCGCUGAGGACACUGUAAAAGGUGGCCAAGGUAAAUGCAGAUGAACCGCUUCUAAUAGUCCAUUGACUUGGACAAUACUUUUAUGAUCUGAUCUCAAAUCAGGUAGGACUACCCGCUGAACUUAAGC